This 426-nucleotide ribosomal RNA is filed under the name uncultured bacterium. Its description in RNAcentral is "bacterial SSU rRNA". It matches the Rfam family "Bacterial small subunit ribosomal RNA", at positions 354 to 796 of the family's 1533-position model. The record is from RNAcentral.
GUGAGGAAUAUUGCCCAAUGGACGCAAGUCUGAGGCAGCAACGCCGCGUGCGCGAUGAAGGCCUUCGGGUCGUAAAGCGCUUUUCUGGGGGAAGAGGAAGGACGGUACCUCAGGAAUAAGUCACGGCUAACUACGUGCCAGCAGCCGCGGUAAUACGUAGGUGGCAAGCGUUAUCCGGAUUUACUGGGCGUAAAGCGCGUGCAGGCGGUUUCGUAAGUCGGAUGUGAAAGCUCCUGGCUUAACUGGGAGAGUGCAUUCGAUACUGCGAGGCUUGAGGUCGGGAGAGGGACGUGGAAUUCCCGGUGUAGUGGUGGAAUGCGUAGAUAUCGGGAGGAACACCAGUGGCGAAGGCGGCGUCCUGGCCCGUACCUGACGCUGAGACGCGAAAGCGUGGGUAGCGAACGGGAUUAGAAACCCUAGUAGUCC